CCUACGCGUGGCAGCAGUGAGGAAUAUUGGUCAAUGGGCGGGAGCCUGAACCAGCCAAGUCGCGUGAGGGAAGACGGUCCUAUGGUUUGUAAACCUCUUUAGGCGGGGAGCCAUGCCGGGCACGCGUGCCCGGAGGGAGAGUACCCGCAGAAUAAGCAUCGGCUAACUCCGUGCCAGCCGCCGCGGUAAUACGGAGGAUGCGAGCGUUAUCCGGAUUUAUUGGGUUUAAAGGGUGCGUAGGCGGAUUUUUAAGUCAGCGGUAAAAUGUCCGGGCUCAACCCGGGCCGGCCGUUGAAACUGGGGAUCUUGAGUGGGCGAGAAGUAUGCGGAAUGCGUGGUGUAGCGGUGAAAUGCAUAGAUAGCACGCAGAACUCCGAUUGCGAAGGCAGCAUACCGGCGCCCGACUGACGCUGAGGCACGAAAGCGUGGGGAUCGAACAGGAUUAGAUACCCGAGUAGUC
Molecule: ribosomal RNA, 460 nt
Filed under: uncultured bacterium
Lineage: Bacteria
Description: partial 16S ribosomal RNA
Rfam family: Bacterial small subunit ribosomal RNA
Source: RNAcentral